This 439-nucleotide ribosomal RNA is filed under the name uncultured bacterium. RNAcentral describes it as "partial 16S ribosomal RNA". It matches the Rfam family "Bacterial small subunit ribosomal RNA", at positions 338 to 795 of the family's 1533-position model. The record is from RNAcentral.
CCUACGGGAGGCAGCAGUGGGGGAUAUUGCACAAUGGGGGGAACCCUGAUGCAGCGACGCCGCGUGGGUGAAGAAGCGCCUCGGCGUGUUAAGCCUCGUUAGUAGGGAAGCAAAUGACGGUACCUGAAGAAGAAGCCGCGGCUAACUACGUGCCAGAUGCCGCGGCACUACGGAGGGGGCAAGCGUAAUCCGGAUUUACCGGGUGUAAGGCGGGUGUAGACGGUCUGUUAGGUCGGGGGUCAAAUACCGGGGUUCAACCCCGGACCGCCGCCGAUACCGGCAGGCUUGAGUUGGGGAGGGGAAGGCGGAAGGCGCGGUGUAGCGGUGGAAUGCACAGAUAUUGGGCAGAACGCCGACGGCGAAGGCAGCAUUCUGGGCCACGACUGACGCUGAGGCACGAAAGCGAGGGGAGCGAACAGGAUUAGAUACCCUGGUAGUC